GGGGCAGUAGCUCAGUCGGGAGAGCACCUGCUUUGCAAGCAGGGGGUCGGGAGUUCGAAUCUCCUCUGCUCCA
RNAcentral lists this transfer RNA (73 nucleotides) under Candidatus Omnitrophota bacterium. Its description in RNAcentral is "tRNA-Ala". It matches the Rfam family "tRNA". Rfam says of the family: Transfer RNA (tRNA) molecules are approximately 80 nucleotides in length. Their secondary structure includes four short double-helical elements and three loops (D, anti-codon, and T loops). Lineage: Bacteria; Pseudomonadati; Candidatus Omnitrophota. The record is from RNAcentral.